AUCUAAGAUAGCUUAACUGAUAGAGCUUUUGGCGCAUAACCAAUUGGUCCGGGUUCGAGUCCCGGUCUGGGCU
This 73-nucleotide transfer RNA is filed under the name Cotesia glomerata. RNAcentral describes it as "tRNA-Met". It matches the Rfam family "tRNA". Rfam says of the family: Transfer RNA (tRNA) molecules are approximately 80 nucleotides in length. Their secondary structure includes four short double-helical elements and three loops (D, anti-codon, and T loops). The record is from RNAcentral. Lineage: Eukaryota; Metazoa; Arthropoda; Insecta; Hymenoptera; Braconidae.